Long non-coding RNA from Acipenser ruthenus (sterlet), 536 nucleotides. RefSeq lists it as uncharacterized. The record is from RefSeq and is a predicted model, not a curated record. The transcript is spliced from 2 exons. NCBI's taxonomy places the organism in Eukaryota, Metazoa, Chordata, Actinopteri, Acipenseriformes, Acipenseridae.
GCUGCUCACAUGGGUUUGGAUAGGAGCUGGAGGGACUGCUGUAUUUAAAUCUGAAGUUACUGUCUCCGCCGAAUCACCAGGGCUCGUUUACUUUAGGGGUUCUGCAUGCACACGGCCUGGUUUCAACAUAUGUAACCAACAAUAGACCGACUGCAGCCUAUCCCGUUGUGGAAACCCUUCCACUGCAGACGGGUUCAUGUGGGUGUCGGCGGGAAUGGAUAGUAAAGAAUUCUGCGGGUUCAAAACAGGCAGACAUGAGAACAGCACUGCAGUGGAGGGCGACCUGACAGACCUCUUUCCGCUUGGACGUCCUGCCACUAGAGGACUGGGGCUGAAGGCCUGCCCAACGGCCUCUUCAGGGCAGGCCACUCAAGUAAGCACCCCCCCAUGACUGUAACGCUUUCUGGCAGGGGGACGGGGUGACAGAUGUUCCCUGCCAGUGGCAUGGUGGCAUUGAGGCGAUUUCAGUGUGUGGGCGUGUUUGCUGGGAUUGGGGUGAUAGAAGAAAGACAAAUAAAUCUUGUCAAAUCAAUUUA